CCCGCACAAGCGGUGGAGUAUGUAGUUUAAUUCGAUGCAACGCGAAGAACCUUACCUGGUCUUGACAUCCCGGAGACCCUUAGGAAACUAGGGGGUGCUUCCAUCUGGAAGAAUUUGGAGACAGGUGCUGCAUGGCUGUCGUCAGCUCGUGUCGUGAGAUGUUGGGUUAAGUCCCGCAACGAGCGCAACCCUUGCCUUUAGUUGCCAGCAGUUCGGCUGGGCACUCUAAAGGGACUGCCGGUGUUAAACCGGAGGAAGGUGGGGAUGACGUCAAGUCCUCAUGGCCUUUAUGACCAGGGCUACACACGUACUACAAUGGCCGAUACAAAGGGCAGCGACACUGCGAGGUGAAGCCAAUCCCGUAAAAUCGGUCUCAGUCCGGAUUGGAGUCUGCAACUCGACUCCAUGAAGUUGGAAUCGCUAGUAAUCGUGGAUCAGCAUGCCACGGUGAAUACGUUCCCGGGCCUU
This 468-nucleotide ribosomal RNA is filed under the name uncultured Desulfobulbus sp. Its description in RNAcentral is "bacterial SSU rRNA". It matches the Rfam family "Bacterial small subunit ribosomal RNA", at positions 920 to 1382 of the family's 1533-position model. The record is from RNAcentral. Lineage: Bacteria; Pseudomonadati; Thermodesulfobacteriota; Desulfobulbia; Desulfobulbales; Desulfobulbaceae.